GGAGAGGUAUCGAAGUGGUCAUAACGAGGCGGUCUUGAAAACCGUUUGGGGGAAACCCCACAAGGGUUCGAAUCCCUUCCUCUCCGCCA
RNAcentral lists this transfer RNA (89 nucleotides) under Clostridia bacterium. Its description in RNAcentral is "tRNA-Ser". It matches the Rfam family "tRNA". Rfam says of the family: Transfer RNA (tRNA) molecules are approximately 80 nucleotides in length. Their secondary structure includes four short double-helical elements and three loops (D, anti-codon, and T loops). RNAcentral also lists the same sequence under 1 other name. The record is from RNAcentral. Lineage: Bacteria; Bacillati; Bacillota; Clostridia.